GUCCAGACUCCUACGGGAGGCAGCAGUGGGGAAUAUUGCACAAUGGGGGAAACCCUGAUGCAGCGACGCCGCGUGAGCGAUGAAGUAUUUCGGUAUGUAAAGCUCUAUCAGCAGGGAAGAAGAUGACGGUACCUGACUAAGAAGCCCCGGCUAACUACGUGCCAGCAGCCGCGGUAAUACGUAGGGGGCAAGCGUUAUCCGGAUUUACUGGGUGUAAAGGGAGCGUAGACGGCGAUGCAAGCCAGAUGUGAAAGCCCGGGGCUCAACCCCGGGACUGCAUUUGGAACUGUGUGGCUGGAGUGUCGGAGAGGCAGGCGGAAUUCCUAGUGUAGCGGUGAAAUGCGUAGAUAUUAGGAGGAACACCAGUGGCGAAGGCGGCCUGCUGGACGAUGACUGACGUUGGGGCUCGAAAGCGUGGGGAGCAAACAGGAUUAGAUACCCCUGUA
Molecule: ribosomal RNA, 446 nt
Filed under: uncultured bacterium
Lineage: Bacteria
Description: bacterial SSU rRNA
Rfam family: Bacterial small subunit ribosomal RNA
Source: RNAcentral